GGAGAUAAAAUAGGGCGAUACCCUGCAAACAUCUGCAGGGCUGUGCAGGGUCAGAGGAAGCAGCCCAGGUCUAAGGGAAGAAAUUUCGGGAAGGAAGUCACUGCUCCUAAAUGAAAAAGAGCUAUGCAACAUCAGAGCUGCCUGGGAGGGAUGGAGGUGCCUUCGGACUCUCAGUGUCUCCGCCCCAGCCUCAGUGCUGCACUUUGGAGCUUGCUUGCCUCCUCCACAGCCCUCCUUGCUAGCCCAGGACCAGGGGAGUGUGGGGUGACUGUGUUCUGGAUCAGGGACCAGGGCAGAGGUCUGAGGCUGCAGUGGUAAAAGAAAUAUCCCAGUUUGACUCCCCGGA
RNAcentral lists this long non-coding RNA (346 nucleotides) under Homo sapiens (human). RNAcentral describes it as "HSALNT0275314". The record is from RNAcentral. Lineage: Eukaryota; Metazoa; Chordata; Mammalia; Primates; Hominidae.